Non-coding RNA from Pantherophis guttatus, 737 nucleotides. Lineage: Eukaryota; Metazoa; Chordata; Lepidosauria; Squamata; Colubridae. The record is from RefSeq and is a predicted model, not a curated record.
UCCAAGGCCGCCCGGGGCGAUGGAUCCGUCUGAAGAGAGCGAGACUCCAGCGGAGGGGGGAACGGAAAGCCCCGGUGCCUGAUAGGAAAACCACGCGGUCGGGGAUCACGUGCUCACGGGGGCUUUCCUCUCUGCUCCCCGUUACGCCUCCCACUCGGGGGCCGGGACUCGCUUGUAAUUUGUCAGACACCCCUGGAGUUUCCCUGCCACACCGCGACCAACGGCUAGCAGCCGGAGCAGAACUGUUGGCCUCUUCAUAAGCAAUUCUUUGAUUUUGGGGGGUUGCAAGGGAACAACUCGAAAAAUUACACCUUGAGGAAAUGCAAAGGUCCUGUCUGAAUACAGCUGUCCACUCUCACCCGAACAGAAGGAUUUUUCAUUCAUAGAAGUAUCUUUAUUAUUCAUGAAGUAAAUACUUUAUUUAUGAAAGGAAAUAAAAAGAUAAAAAAUACUUUAUUCCUGAAGUAAAAUAAAAUACAAUGGUGGUAUAUCUGCCCUUCUAGAGGACCAUAAGUACAUUGUAAUAAAACCAUAUCUUUACUCUUUCUAAAUGCAACCGGAGACUUUGGACUAGCUGUACUUCCAGAACAGAAUAUUCCUUAAUGAGAGGUUGCUUACCAAGAAGGGAUUUUGAAUUUGUAACCUACCUCUCCAUCACAAAAGGAUGCCAAAUAUGCUUAACAAUGGUGACAAAAGAUGUAAACAAAACAAUAAAACAAAGUAAAUGAUCAAAUAUU